This is a non-coding RNA of Aspergillus viridinutans, 72 nucleotides long. The record is from the annotation of a RefSeq genome assembly. NCBI's taxonomy places the organism in Eukaryota, Fungi, Ascomycota, Eurotiomycetes, Eurotiales, Aspergillaceae.
GGUCCUUUAGCUCAGUCGGUUAGAGCGUGGUGCUAAUAACGCCAAGGUCGCGAUCGACCCUCGUAGGGACCA